UUUUAUGGAGAGUUUGAUCCUGGCUCAGGACGAACGCUGGCGGCGUGCCUAAUACAUGCAAGUCGAGCGAACAGAGAAGGAGCUUGCUCCUUUGACGUUAGCGGCGGACGGGUGAGUAACACGUGGGCAACCUACCUUAUAGUUUGGGAUAACUCCGGGAAACCGGGGCUAAUACCGAAUAAUCU
Molecule: ribosomal RNA, 185 nt
Filed under: Lysinibacillus sphaericus
Lineage: Bacteria; Bacillati; Bacillota; Bacilli; Caryophanales; Bacillaceae
Also listed under: 1 other name
Description: partial 16S ribosomal RNA
Rfam family: Bacterial small subunit ribosomal RNA
Source: RNAcentral